Molecule: ribosomal RNA, 850 nt
Filed under: uncultured bacterium
Lineage: Bacteria
Description: bacterial SSU rRNA
Rfam family: Bacterial small subunit ribosomal RNA
Source: RNAcentral
GCGGGAAACGGCAGGCUUACACUGCAAGUCGAGGGGCAGCGAGGGUGAUAGCAAUAUUACCUGUCGGCGACCGCCCUUCGGGUGCGUAACGCGUAUGCAACCUACCAUCAACAGGCCCAUAACACUGAGAAAUUGGUACUAAUACCCCAUAAUAUCUCAUGCGGCAUCGCAUGGGGUUGAAAACUCCGGUGGUUGAUGAUGGGCAUGCGUUGUAUUAGCUGGUUGGUGAGGUAACGGCUCACCAAGGCGACGAUACAUAGGGGGACUGAGAGGUUAACCCCCCACAUUGGUACUGAGACACGGACCAAACUCCUACGGGAGGCAGCAGUGAGGAAUAUUGGUCAAUGGACGCAAGUCUGAACCAGCCAUGCCGCGUGCAGGAUGACGGCUCUAUGAGUUGUAAACUGCUUUUGUACGAGGGUAAACCCCGAUACGUGUAUCGGGUUGAAAGUAUCGUACGAAUAAGGAUCGGCUAACUCCGUGCCAGCAGCCGCGGUAAUACGGAGGAUCCGAGCGUUAUCCGGAUUUAUUGGGUUUAAAGGGUGCGUAGGCGGUUUGAUAAGUUAGAGGUGAAAUGUCGGGGCUCAACCCCGAAACUGCCUCUAAUACUGUUGGACUAGAGAAUAGUUGCGGUAGGCGGAAUGUAUGGUGUAGCGGUGAAAUGCUUAGAGAUCAUACAGAACACCGAUUGCUAAUGCAGCUUACCAAACUAUAUCUUGACGUUGAGGCCCCAAAGCGUGGGUAGCAAACAUGAUUACAUACCCUGGUAUUCCAUGCAUUAAACGAUGGAUACUCCUUUGUCCGCCACACACAAUUCUGUGAACUAACCAACAGCGAUCACUUUUUCCAC